RNAcentral lists this ribosomal RNA (445 nucleotides) under uncultured bacterium. RNAcentral's name for it is "bacterial SSU rRNA". It matches the Rfam family "Bacterial small subunit ribosomal RNA", at positions 91 to 518 of the family's 1533-position model. The record is from RNAcentral.
UAGAGCGGCGGACGGGUGGAGUAACACGUGGACAAUCUGCCCCCCGGCCCGGGAUAGCCCAGGGAAACCUGGAUUAAUACCGGAUGAGACGGGACCCGCGAAGGCGGGACCCGGGAAAGGCGCUGCGGCGCCGCCGGGGGAUGAGUCUGCGUCCCAUUAGCUAGACGGCGGGGUAACGGCCCACCGUGGCGACGAUGGGUAGCCGGCCUGAGAGGGUGGACGGCCACAUUGGAACUGAGACACGGUCCAGGACUCCUACGGGAGGCAGGCAGCUAAGAAUCUUCCGCAAUGGGCGAAAGCCUGACGGAGCGACGCCCGCGUGAACGAAGAAGGCCGUGAGGUUGUAAAGUUCUUUUCGGGAGGGGGAACAACCGUGGCAGGGAAUGGGCCGCGGGAUGACGUGAAUCCCGGAAUAAGCCCCGGCUAACUACGUGCCAGCCGCAGC